GCCAUGCAUGCCCGCGCACCCGGGAGGCGGCGGACGGCUCAGGACAACGGUUGCACCCCCCGCGGCGGUCCCUGCUAGCCGGACACCGCUGGCAACCCGGCGCCAAGACGUGCGCGCAAGGGCGGGCGCCCGCGGGCGAGCAGCGUGACGCAGCGACGGCCCGCCCGGGCUUCCGGGGCAUCACCCGGUCGGCGCGGUCGCGGCGCGCCGAGGGCCCGACGCCUGGCGGAGA
RNAcentral lists this ribosomal RNA (232 nucleotides) under Giardia duodenalis. Its description in RNAcentral is "Giardia intestinalis partial small subunit ribosomal RNA". The record is from RNAcentral. Lineage: Eukaryota; Fornicata; Diplomonadida; Hexamitidae.